This 437-nucleotide ribosomal RNA is filed under the name Exiguobacterium acetylicum. Its description in RNAcentral is "bacterial SSU rRNA". It matches the Rfam family "Bacterial small subunit ribosomal RNA", at positions 34 to 449 of the family's 1533-position model. Lineage: Bacteria; Bacillati; Bacillota; Bacilli; Caryophanales. The record is from RNAcentral.
CGCUGGCGGCGUGCCUAAUACAUGCAAGUCGAGCGCAGGAAGCCGUCUGAACCCUUCGGGGGGACGACGGUGGAAUGAGCGGCGGACGGGUGAGUAACACGUAAAGAACCUGCCCAUAGGUCUGGGAUAACCACGAGAAAUCGGGGCUAAUACCGGAUGUGUCAUCGGACCGCAUGGUCCGCUGAUGAAAGGCGCUCCGGCGUCGCCCAUGGAUGGCUUUGCGGUGCAUUAGCUAGUUGGUGGGGUAACGGCCCACCAAGGCGACGAUGCAUAGCCGACCUGAGAGGGUGAUCGGCCACACUGGGACUGAGACACGGCCCAGACUCCUACGGGAGGCAGCAGUAGGGAAUCUUCCACAAUGGACGAAAGUCUGAUGGAGCAACGCCGCGUGAACGAUGAAGGCUUUCGGGUCGUAAAGUUCUGUUGUAAGGGAAGAA